GACGAACGCUGGCGGCGUGCUUAACACAUGCAAGUCGAACGGAAAGGCCCUGCUUUUGUGGGGUGCUCGAGUGGCGAACGGGUGAGUAACACGUGAGUAACCUGCCCUUGACUUUGGGAUAACUUCAGGAAACUGGGGCUAAUACCGGAUAGGAGCUCCUGCUGCAUGGUGGGGGUUGGAAAGUUUCGGCGGUUGGGGAUGGACUCGCGGCUUAUCAGCUUGUUGGUGGGGUAGUUGCUUACCAAGGCUUUGACGGGUAGCCGGCCUGAGAGGGUGACCGGCCACAUUGGGACUGAGAGACGGCCCAGAAUCCUACGGGAGGCAGAAGGGGAGAAUAUUGCACAGUGGGCGGAAGCCUGAUGCAGCAACGCCGCGUGCGGGAUGAAGGCCUUCGGGUGGUGAACCGCUUUCGCCUGUGACGAAGCGUGAGUGACGGUAAUGGGUAAAGAAGCACCGGCUAACUACGUG
Molecule: ribosomal RNA, 468 nt
Filed under: uncultured bacterium
Lineage: Bacteria
Description: partial 16S ribosomal RNA
Rfam family: Bacterial small subunit ribosomal RNA
Source: RNAcentral